GACGAACGCUGGCGGCAUGCCUAAUACAUGCAAGUCGAGCGAACAGAUGAAGUGCUUGCGCUUCUGACGUUAGCGGCGAACGGGUGAGUAACACGUAAGGAAUCUACCUAUAAGCGGGGGAUAACAUUCGGAAACGGGUGCUAAUACCGCAUAAUAUCUUCUUCCGCAUGGAAGAAGAUUGAAAGACGGCUCUGCUGUCACUUAUAGAUGACCUUGCGGUGCAUUAGUUAGUUGGUGGGGUAAUGGCCUACCAAGACGAUGAUGCAUAGCCGACCUGGAAGGGUGAUCGGCCACAUUGGGACUGAGACACGGCCCAAACUCCUACGGGAGGCAGCAGUAGGGAAUCUUCCGCAAUGGGCGAAAGCCUGACGGAGCAAUGCCGCGUGAGUGAAGAAGGUCUUCGGGUCGUAAAACUCUGUUAUAAGAGAAGAACAAAUUGUAGAGUAACUGCUACAGUCUUGACGGUAUCUUAUCAGAAAGCCACGGCUAACUACGUGCCAGCCGCCGCCGUAA
This 513-nucleotide ribosomal RNA is filed under the name uncultured bacterium. Its description in RNAcentral is "partial 16S ribosomal RNA". It matches the Rfam family "Bacterial small subunit ribosomal RNA", at positions 28 to 523 of the family's 1533-position model. The record is from RNAcentral.